GUAUUAGAUACCCGGGUAGUCCACGCCGUAAACGAUGAGUGCUAGAUGCUACGGGUAUCUAAU
RNAcentral lists this ribosomal RNA (63 nucleotides) under uncultured bacterium. RNAcentral's name for it is "partial 16S ribosomal RNA". The record is from RNAcentral.